Molecule: ribosomal RNA, 903 nt
Filed under: Limosilactobacillus fermentum
Lineage: Bacteria; Bacillati; Bacillota; Bacilli; Lactobacillales; Lactobacillaceae
Description: bacterial SSU rRNA
Rfam family: Bacterial small subunit ribosomal RNA
Source: RNAcentral
CGUUGGCCCAAUUGAUUGAUGGUGCUUGCACCUGAUUGAUUUUGGUCGCCAACGAGUGGCGGACGGGUGAGUAACACGUAGGUAACCUGCCCAGAAGCGGGGGACAACAUUUGGAAACAGAUGCUAAUACCGCAUAACAACGUUGUUCGCAUGAACAACGCUUAAAAGAUGGCUUCUCGCUAUCACUUCUGGAUGGACCUGCGGUGCAUUAGCUUGUUGGUGGGGUAAUGGCCUACCAAGGCGAUGAUGCAUAGCCGAGUUGAGAGACUGAUCGGCCACAAUGGGACUGAGACACGGCCCAUACUCCUACGGGAGGCAGCAGUAGGGAAUCUUCCACAAUGGGCGCAAGCCUGAUGGAGCAACACCGCGUGAGUGAAGAAGGGUUUCGGCUCGUAAAGCUCUGUUGUUAAAGAAGAACACGUAUGAGAGUAACUGUUCAUACGUUGACGGUAUUUAACCAGAAAGUCACGGCUAACUACGUGCCAGCAGCCGCGGUAAUACGUAGGUGGCAAGCGUUAUCCGGAUUUAUUGGGCGUAAAGAGAGUGCAGGCGGUUUUCUAAGUCUGAUGUGAAAGCCUUCGGCUUAACCGGAGAAGUGCAUCGGAAACUGGAUAACUUGAGUGCAGAAGAGGGUAGUGGAACUCCAUGUGUAGCGGUGGAAUGCGUAGAUAUAUGGAAGAACACCAGUGGCGAAGGCGGCUACCUGGUCUGCAACUGACGCUGAGACUCGAAAGCAUGGGUAGCGAACAGGAUUAGAUACCCUGGUAGUCCAUGCCGUAAACGAUGAGUGCUAGGUGUUGGAGGGUUUCCGCCCUUCAGUGCCGGAGCUAACGCAUUAAGCACUCCGCCUGGGGAGUACGACCGCAAGGUUGAAACUCAAAGGAAUUGACGGGGGCCCGCACA